Molecule: long non-coding RNA, 1974 nt
Organism: Engraulis encrasicolus (European anchovy)
Lineage: Eukaryota; Metazoa; Chordata; Actinopteri; Clupeiformes; Engraulidae
Exons: 4
Source: RefSeq, a predicted model, not a curated record
CAAUAUUAAGAAAUGAAUGUCACACCACUCACCAAUAUAUUUCGUGAUCCACAAACAAAUGUAAUAACAUUCGCAAAUAUAAUUCAUACAUUUCAUGAUCCACAAACAAAUGUAACAACAUUCACAAAUAUAAUUCAUGAUGCACAAAUGAAUGUAACCCCAUUCACAAAUGCCAGCGCAGUUCUAUUAAUUUGCAAACCGGUCUACAUAUAUUCGCAAGCCCUAUACAUAUUUGUGACUUCCAUUGUAUUUGUGUGUGGAUUUUUGAGACUGUCCUGACGGUAUUUGACACACAAAUGUGCUCAGCCAAUCACAUCAGCCGGCGUUCGAGCGUAAGGUUGAAGACAUUGCGCUUCUAUUACGCAGAGCAGGCUACUAGUGCGAAGCCACCAUAGAUCUGUAUAAAUAACUGGAAGUAGAGCCAUUACUGAAGUGCUCCCUGACGUAAACUCGGAAGCUUAUGAAGUUACUGACUUUCACAUCAUCUUUGUACAAAUAUGUCUGGAUCUGGACUAACGUGUGCCGUAAUCGGAUGUAACAAUAACAGCAGAAAGCUAAAAAUGUGGAAAAAGAGCGUAUGUGCGCUUCAUAGUCCACAGUUUAAAGAGGAUUGUCCAUGUUGUGUGCCCUACGGUGUACACCGCUUCCCCGGCCGUGCUGAGGAUGAAGACAUUCGCAAGAUGUGGAUUAAACACGUACACCGAAAGGACUUUGCCCCCAAACAAGUAUUCAAGGGUGUGUGCGGAGUACACUUCCCUGACGGCAGACCAACGCAGGAACACCCAUAUCCCAUAAUAUGGGAUAUGAAUAUAGUAAAGCACCGUCAUGUGGAAGACCACCCCAAAGAGGAGAUGUCUCCAGCCCCCAACAGAGAGACCAUGUGAUGAGCCUCCUGUGACAGAUUCUGACACCGAAGCCUACAUCAAACUCAACCCCAUACUCAGAGCACACAUUCAGAAGUUGCUGAAACUCAACAGCGCCGGGGGACAUGGGCCUAAUAGCCAGAUCAUCAAAUGGUUGAAAACAGUGCAUGUGUUUUAUUGUCUGUGUAUAAAUCUCGUCAUACAUCCAGUGCGUUUUGUUUUUUUUAACAGACGUGUUUUCACAAUGACACUCUGAGAAUUUACUUUUGAACAAAGUGUCUUGUGUAUAAAAUGGUGUGCAGACAGCCGGAGUGUGUGUGUUGCGUAAAGGAACAAGUGCUUUGCAAAGCUGGUAUGAAAGUGUAAUGCUAGACUUUUGAUUAAGGUAAAGCAGCAUGUGUUAUAGUACCAACAACUGAACAAUAUGCUACUUUGGUCAUCAGCCUUUAAUGUUUAAGCAGUAGCCUAGGCAAAAACUGUAACAAAGUAAAAACAAAACAAAGAAAAUAUAACUGCCGAAUGAAUUAAGAACCUGAAUUAUCACCAGCAUUUGACCGGUUGUUAAUUUAAAACCAGGCAUGCAUAUGUAUCUAUAUCUAUCUUUAGAAAUUAGGCCUACGUUAACAACAGGGAAUCUUUAUCUUUUCAGGUCAAGGUGGCCGCCUUGGCAAUAGGGAAACUCUCUCUCUCUAGGCUAGGCCUGAUCAGAAAGCAAGGUGUGUGUGUGUGUGUGUUUUUUUUUUUUUUUUAACCUCUGUCAUUAAAGGGACACUGCAAGAUUUAUAGUUGUUUAUUUCCAGAAUUCAUGCUACUCAUUCACUAAUGUUACCCUUUUCAUGAAUACUUACCACCACCAUCAAAUUCUAAGUAUUCAUUAUGACUGGAAAAAUUGCACUUUUCAUACAUACAAAGGGGGAUCUCCUCCAUCAUUGUCCGCCAUUUUGAAUUUCCAGAAAUAGCCAUUUUUAGCUGCAAAAAGGACUGUACUUGGGCCAUAACAGAAAAUCUGAGUUUAUUAUUUAGUAAACUAUCAUGAAAAGAUCAAAUUUGGCAAUAGGCAACCCAGUUACAAUGAGCAGCAUAGUUGCAGUACCCUUUUUGACCAUUUCCU